RNAcentral lists this ribosomal RNA (468 nucleotides) under uncultured bacterium. RNAcentral describes it as "partial 16S ribosomal RNA". It matches the Rfam family "Bacterial small subunit ribosomal RNA", at positions 28 to 507 of the family's 1533-position model. The record is from RNAcentral.
GAUGAACGCUGGCGGCGUGCUUAACACAUGCCAGUCGAACGGAAAGGCCCUGCGCUUGUGGGGUGCUCGAGUGGCGAACGGGUGAGUAACACGUGAGUAACCCCUCCCUGACUUUGGGAUAACAUCAGGAAACUGGGGCGCUUACCCGAUAGGAUCUCCUGCAGCACGGUGGGGGUUGGAAAGAUUCGGCGGUUGUGGAUGGAUUCGCGGCUUAUCAGCUUGAUGGUGGGGUAGUGGAUUACCACGUCUUUGAAGGAUAGGCGGCCUGGGAGGGUAGACAGCGUCAAUGCGACUAAGAUACGGAGCAGAAUGCAACGGGAGGCAACAGUCGAGAAUAUUGCGCAGUGGGCGGGAGCCUGUUGCAGCAGCGCCGCGUGCGGGAUGCCGGCCUUCGGGUUGUAAACCACUGUCGCAUGUAACGAAGAGUUCGUGACGGUAAUGGGUAAGGAAGCAACGGCUAACUACGUG